CCCUUGUAACACCUCUAUUAUAAGACAAGCUAAGCAAUAACUCUACUGUCCACCAUACCAACUAACUCUAGCUGAUAUAGACUUCAACAAUAACAUUACAAGACUGAAAUAUACAUGACAACAUAGAUCAAUAAAUGAUGUGAAAAACUUUUCAAACAAACUUCAGAACUAGAAUGAUGUUGGGAUCAUCCAGACAAUUUUAGCUUGCAAUUCAAAUAAUAACAACUCCUUAGCUUUCAUCUCUUCAACCUGCAUGUACAAGAGGCGAACAUAAGUUACUAAAAAAAAUAUUAUAUUAUGUGGUAACUGGUAAGACAGAGUUAAGUUAAAGAUGAGUUGAACUGACUUACCAUCUCAGCUUUAGUAGUCCUACAAUAUAAGAACUUGGAGACGAUCACAUCCAGAGG
This 407-nucleotide long non-coding RNA is filed under the name Solanum tuberosum (potato). RNAcentral describes it as "long non-coding RNA (STUB_LNC006704)". Lineage: Eukaryota; Viridiplantae; Streptophyta; Magnoliopsida; Solanales; Solanaceae. The record is from RNAcentral.